GGCCAAACUCAUAGGCAUGGGGACUGUACCUUAAAAUACUGAUUCCCUUUAUGCUUAAUUCCAACGGCCAUCUCUAGUUUCUCUUUUAAGUCCAUUUCCCAGAAUUCUUUAUGCUUGUGGAAACAAAAUGAGAGACCGUGAUGACAAAUGGCUGAUCACAAAGGUGUUUGUUUUCAAUAAGAAAGUCACAUGCUCUGAAAAAGAGUAGAAGGGUUUAUUAUAGAACCGUGUAGUGCAUUUGUAAAGAUUUCUCACCCUUUGGAAGUCUUUGAGAGUAACUUCAUAUGCAAUGUCUUUGUCUGGUCCAAUAUUGUAUUCUGGUUUGCCUUCUCUUCCAAAGCCAUACCUGUUAGAAACAAAUUAAUUAAAACUGCUGGACAUGAGGCUUAACAGAU
Molecule: long non-coding RNA, 395 nt
Organism: Thalassophryne amazonica
Lineage: Eukaryota; Metazoa; Chordata; Actinopteri; Batrachoidiformes; Batrachoididae
Exons: 3
Source: RefSeq, a predicted model, not a curated record